UGAGUAAUGUCUGGGAAACUGCCUGAUGGAGGGGGAUAACUACUGGAAACGGUAGCUAAUACCGCACAACGUCGCAAGACCAAAGAGGGGGACCUUCGGGCCUCUUGCCAUCAGAUGUGCCCAGAUGGGAUUAGCUAGUAGGUGGGGUAAUGGCUCACCUAGGCGACGAUCCCUAGCUGGUCUGAGAGGAUGACCAGCCACACUGGAACUGAGACACGGUCCAGACUCCUACGGGAGGCAGCAGUGGGGAAUAUUGCACAAUGGGCGCAAGCCUGAUGCAGCCAUGCCGCGUGUAUGAAGAAGGCCUUCGGGUUGUAAAGUACUUUCAGCGAGGAGGAAGGCAUUGUGGUUAAUAACCGCAGUGAUUGACGUUACUCGCAGAAGAAGCACCGGCUAACUCCGUGCCAGCAGCCGC
Molecule: ribosomal RNA, 415 nt
Filed under: uncultured bacterium
Lineage: Bacteria
Description: bacterial SSU rRNA
Rfam family: Bacterial small subunit ribosomal RNA
Source: RNAcentral